Long non-coding RNA from Pongo pygmaeus (Bornean orangutan), 1848 nucleotides. RefSeq lists it as uncharacterized. The record is from RefSeq and is a predicted model, not a curated record. NCBI's taxonomy places the organism in Eukaryota, Metazoa, Chordata, Mammalia, Primates, Hominidae. The transcript is spliced from 2 exons.
GUGACUCAUCCCCUGCGCGCACAGGACUGCUUCCUCUCCCCCGACACAUCCUCAGGGCUGAGGACCACGCCACAGCGCCUGCAGCUGUAAGAGGGCAUCUAAGCUAGCGUGUACCCAGCAUGCAGGAAAGGUGGAAAGCCCAGCCGCUUCCCAAGGGACUGCCAGCUGAAAAGGAUGCCGGAUUUCUACUAUUUAGGUGCACGCUGGAUAUCUGAAUUGUUAUCCCGGCCAGAGUGACAGCCUCUCCUUGUUGGGGCUGCUGGGACAACUCACCAUCCCCACCCCCACCUCCCCUGACUGCUACUAUGUGAGCAGCUGCUGCCAGAGCUGGGACCGGAACCUCUCUGCUAAAGGCGCUCUGAGCAAGUGCCAUACGUAUGUUACCACGUAGUUAAGAAUUUUCUCCUCAAAGUAAUCAGAGAAGCUGAAAAAGCUUUACGGAAAGAGGUCUCCUGGAGAAAGUGGGCAGCUCUCGGGGCACUCUAUGGUAGAAACAAAUAUUUCUCCCUGGGUCUGGGGGAGGGCUCUCCAGAGGCAGACUGCGCACAGGUGCAGCGUGUAAAUGUGUGACAGCGACACUCAUGGACACACAAGGGCACACAGUGCCAGAUGGAGGGCUCCAUGAGAAAGGGGGUCUGCCUUUGACUGCGAGAAAAAGAGCAAUUGCAUCUGGGAUCUGGGGGAAUGGGAAGGGCAGCUGGUCACAGACCACCGAGAACAGAUGAUACAGAACAAAACCAACCCCCAGUCUGUGACCACUUCCAAAAGUCCCUUCUCCAGGAAGCACUGGGAAGUCUCAAGCAAGCAGCUCUGGUCCCUCUGGUUCUUAGCAAAACAUUAGGAUGACCUCAGCUUUCACCAAAUGUCCAAACUCAACACCCCCAUGGUGAGAGCUCCUGCCAUUCUGAGCCUCUGAGUGUGGUGCCUUAAGAAACAGGGUACUGUCCUGGUGGAACGCCUGCCAGAAACACUUGCCCUGAAUCCAGUCAUGAGGAAAGCCUCUGACAGAUCCGGGCUGUAAGACAUCCUGCAAGGUAACUGGCCUGGACUUCUCAAGAGUCAGUCUUCAAAAUCAAAGAAAGGCUGGGGUGGGGCUGGGGGUGGCUAUUCUAGAUUACAAGUGACUAAGAAGCAUUUAACCAAGUGCAGUGAAUCAACCUUGAGUGGAUGUUGGAAUUUUUUUUUUUUUGAGACAGAGUUUCACUCUUGUUGCUCAGGCUGGAGUGCAAUGGCAUAAUCUCGGCUCACUGCAACCUCCGUCUCCCGGGUUCAAGUGAUUCUCCUGCCUCAGCCUCCUGAGUAGCUGGGAUUACAGGCAUGCACCAGCAUGCCUGGCUAAUUUUGUAUUUUUAGUAGAGAUGGGGUUUCUCCAUUUUGGUCUGGCUGGUCUCGAACUCCCGACCUCAGGUAAUCCACCCAACUCAGCCUCCCAAAGUGCUAGGAUUACAGUCGUGAGCCACUGAGCUGGGCCGGAUGUUGAAUUUUAAAGAAUCUCUAACAGAAAAAUAUGAGACAAUUGGGGAAAUUUAGAUAGGCACUAAGUGAUGAGUUUUCAGAUGCGCAGAUGAUAUGAGGUUAUUGAUAAUGUCUGCAGGUCGGAUAACAAGCCUGUGGUUAUGUAAGACAUCACCUUUAUUGUUAGGAAAUGCAUGCUGAAGCACUUACAGGGAACUUUCAUGAUGUCCGUAAUUUAUGUAACCUACCUUCAAAUGGCUCAAUAGAGACGGUAAAAAGCAAAAUAUUACUACUCGGUAAAUUUAGUAUUGUACUUUCUUGUAAACUUUUCUGUAAGUUUUAAAGUACUCACAUUUAAAAAUGAGGAAAAUGAAAUAAAUGUUCCUGAAAAGA